GCUGGGGUGGUGGAAUAGGCAGACACGUUGGACUUAAAAUCCAAUGUCAUCGCGACGUACGGGUUCAAGUCCCGUCCUCAGUACCA
This 86-nucleotide transfer RNA is filed under the name compost metagenome. RNAcentral's name for it is "tRNA-Leu". It matches the Rfam family "tRNA". Rfam says of the family: Transfer RNA (tRNA) molecules are approximately 80 nucleotides in length. Their secondary structure includes four short double-helical elements and three loops (D, anti-codon, and T loops). Further hydrogen bonds mediate the characteristic L-shaped molecular structure. tRNAs have two regions of fundamental functional importance: the anti-codon, which is responsible for specific mRNA codon recognition, and the 3' end, to which the tRNAs corresponding amino acid is attached (by aminoacyl-tRNA synthetases). tRNAs cope with the degeneracy of the genetic code in two manners: having more than one tRNA (with a specific anti-codon) for a particular amino acid; and 'wobble' base-pairing, i.e. permitting non-standard base-pairing at the 3rd anti-codon position. The record is from RNAcentral.